RNAcentral lists this ribosomal RNA (497 nucleotides) under uncultured bacterium. RNAcentral's name for it is "partial 16S ribosomal RNA". It matches the Rfam family "Bacterial small subunit ribosomal RNA", at positions 28 to 507 of the family's 1533-position model. The record is from RNAcentral.
GAUGAACGCUGGCGGCGUGCCUAAUACAUGCAAGUCUAGCGAACGGACGAGAAGCUUGCUUCUCUGAUGUUAGCGGCGGACGGGUGAGUAACACGUGGAUAACCUACCUAUAAGACUGGGAUAACUUCGGGAAACCGGAGCUAAUACCGGAUAAUAUUUUGAACCGCAUGGUUCAAAAGUGAAAGACGGUCUUGCUGUCACUUAUAGAUGGAUCCGCGCUGCAUUAGCUAGUUGGUAAGGUAACGGCUUACCAAGGCAACGAUGCAUAGCCGACCUGAGAGGGUGAUCGGCCACACUGGAACUGAGACACGGUCCAGACUCCUACGGGAGGCAGCAGUAGGGAAUCUUCCGCAAAGGGCGAAAGCCUGACGGAGCAACGCCGCGUGAGUGAUGAAGGUCUUCGGAUCGUAAAACUCUGUUAUUAGGGAAGAACAUAUGUGUAAGUAACUGUGCACAUCUUGACGGUACCUAAUCAGAAAGCCACGGCUAACUACGUG